Molecule: ribosomal RNA, 480 nt
Filed under: uncultured bacterium
Lineage: Bacteria
Description: partial 16S ribosomal RNA
Rfam family: Bacterial small subunit ribosomal RNA
Source: RNAcentral
GAUGAACGCUGGCGGCGUGCUUAACACAUGCAAGUCGAACGAAGCAUUUAAGACAGCUUCCUUCGGUUUGAAGUCUUUUAUGACUGAGUGGCGGACGGGUGAGUAACGCGUGGGUAACCUGCCUCAUACAGGGGGAUAGCAGCUGGAAACGGCUGGUAAUACCGCAUAAGCGCACAGUACCACAUGGUACAGUGUGAAAAACUCCGGUGGUAUGAGAUGGACCCGCGUCUGAUUAGCUUGUUGGCGGGGUACGGCCCACCAAGGCGACGAUCAGUAGCCGACCUGAGAGGGUGACCGGCCACAUUGGGACUGAGACACGGCCCAGACUCCUACGGGAGGCAGCAGUGGGGAAUAUUGCACAAUGGAGGAAACUCUGAUGCAGCGACGCCGCGUGAGUGAAGAAGUAGUUCGCUAUGUAAAGCUCUAUCAGCAGGGAAGAUAGUGACGGUACCUGACGAAGAAGCUCCGGCUAAAUACGUG